ACGCAUAGAGCAAAGGCAUUAAGGCAUGCAUGCUUCAAACACCCCCAUUUGCAUAAAAGCUUUUUUCCAGUAAUCAUGAUGACAUAUGAUUGUUUUAUAGGAAGUUGAGGAAGAGCAGGGAGAUAUAGAUCUGCCAUAUCCAGCUGAAAGUCACUGGCAGCUAUCUCAGUCUGCAGCUCUCCCUCCACCAGUCAAAACCAUCCAUGCGGUGAAGCCAGCACGUGUGAGCAGUGACCAUGACGCUGCACUUCACCCAAUCACAAUCGAGAAAGACUGUAAAAUGAAGAAAACAACUUUUAAUGUAUAUUCUUUGGAAGAGUUGACUAAAACCAACAAAAAAGAUGUGAUGUGUUCAGUGUGGAGGACUGCUGGAGUCCCACUGCCUUCUAAUGACCGGUCACUAGAGAGUGGCAGUGAGCCACGAACAGCAAACAGUCUCAUCUUUGAACCAGUUUCAACAAAGAAGCAGAAAAAACGAACCGAUAUUAAACCCACUGAUGAGUUUCAGAACAAAGAGAUAAGUAAACUACAAAAAAUACCAACAGAAGAGCCUGCGUUCUUUCAAAUUCGGUGUGCAGGUUGCGUGGUGCCCUUUGAAAAAGUGACGAGUCGUAACUUUGCAUCCCUUCAAAGCUUUUGCCACAACAGCUGUCACAUGCAUCGGGUCCUCAAAGAGGCUACGGAGCGAUUCAGGAAAGCUCAUUUAAACCGCGUGUUUACAAAAGAGUAUCAGGAUAUCCAGAAGAACCUCGCAAGCAAAAGUGCAGUUUCAGAUGCACAAUCUCUAAGAAACUCUCAGAACUGGAACCUCCUCCUCACAGGUGUCACUUUGACUCCUUUGCACAGAGGAGUUCAAAAGAAGACAUUAGCCUCCCACAGCAGAGCCGAUCUACGGUUGACUCCCCUAAAAAGACCGCGUGCACCUGAAGACAGACGUCCAGCAUCAGAUCUGGGUAUAACGCGUGAAUACUACGCCUGAGCGCCUGGAGCGGACCGGUCCUCUCUGAAAUGUGCUUUUGGCAGCAGACGAACCAAAGAGGGAAAGAAUGUUGACCCGCAGCCAGUGUUCUCACAGCACAGCCCGGAGCUGGUUCAGAGCGCCACAGCUGUAUUAAGCUGUUUCACACUCUAAAUGGCACACAGUGUGUGUGUCUGUGUGAAUACUUCAGUCAAAGUCUGUGAGAUACUAGCGACCAAUUGUUAUUCUAAUGCUUUUGUUUCAGGGUAACGGAGGAAAAAUGAAAUGCUUUGAUUUUGACAUUUUCUGGUGUGAUGUAAAUUUUGGAUAUUUGUUCACGGGUUUUCAUUUAGUCAUUACAGCUUUUCCCUAAUUUUGACAAACAUGUUCACAAUCUUUCAUGACAGGGAAAUUCUGUGUACUGUAAUCUUUAGCUGUCAUGCUGGGAUUUAAUGUUUCUUUUUUUAUCUCACAUCCUCCUCCUUUCUUUGAUGAACACAUUGUGAGAUAUUAAUACUUUUUCCAUGUUGCAAUCCAUUUUUUUGGUUGUAGUUUGUUCCUGUUGAGUUUCUUUUUUGUGUAUUUUUAUCAGUAGUUUCAACUUUUCUGCCCUUAUACUGUUUUCAUUAUUUAUAAUAAAUAAUACAGUCUGUUAAAUAUAUUUGGGAUGUUUGGCCAGUUGUUGUGUGAAAUAAACAUCCUUUGUUUACCUUAAGUCAACAUGUUAAUUACAUGUUUUUUUUAAUGAUUCGAGAAAAGAGAGGAUUUACAGAGAACAAUACGUUAUUGAAGAACAGUCAAAGAGCGAGCACAGAUUUAUGUUCUUUUGUAAGCUUUUAAAUAAAGCUGCCAAACCAAACUAUUCUGAAGUUUUUAGCUAAACCAAGUUUCUAAAUUCAACUCUCUUUAACCCUAGAACACCUUUGCUGUAAAAAGUUUCAUCAUCACUUUUGAUGGGUCAUUUUUAUCUGAUAUAAUAAGCCCAAUGAAAAGUACUUUUCAUAAAAAAUAGACCAAAAUAUGACAACAUGUGAUAAAUUAAAGCAGUUUUAUAUUCAACUGUGGUUUAUGUAACAAAAUGGAAUAUAAAAACAUUGGAAGAUCCUAGAAACGUGCUUGAAAUAACUGAAAAAUUAUAAAUUUGAGAACAAAAUUUGAUUUAAAAAAAAAAAUAAUGACACUGGAGACUUGGUCUUGGGUCCAUCCAUUUCCUGAGAAAUGUGAAACUUCACCCAGCGACCUACAAGAAUCAGAAAGUGCAACGUAUUCAAAAUCAUGUUAAUAUUUUGCUUGGGUGAAAAUCACCUGGCAAUAACACUGCGUGUUCAGAAUUAUUAGCCACAUAGAGCUCAAACAGACAGAGCAGGAACAAAUAAAAUAGAAAUAAAAUGUACAUUUUUCAGUUACUUAUCAAAAAAUCUAUUUUAAAAAAGAGUAAUUUGGUUUCUAUAUUAUUUCCUACUAAAUAUAGUUUACAUGUAUGUAUUUUUCUACCAAGCAGGUACUUUUACAAUCUUGUUUUCGACUUUUGUGUUAGGUAGAGAAGGAAGCAGCAGGAGUUGAGCGGUGAGGAGGUCCAGUUCCUCCUCUCUGGAGUAAAGAAGUAUGGCUUCUCCUGGAACUCCAUCUUGUGGUCAUUUCCCUUUCCACCGGGGUGCACUAACGUCGGCCUGGCCAAGAAAUACAGGCAACUCGUGGUAAAAUGAGCAAACAUGAAGUGAAGUAGGUAAUUUAAAGAAUUAGCUAGACAAACGUGCUUACAUACAAACGUUUUUCUCUAAAAAUUUAAAUCCACGGGUGAUGACUGGGCAUAAUUGUUUGGAGACUGUUAUUGUUCUGCACAUAUUUUAGGAAUAUUUCCAUUCUGUUUGUGUUUAAUAUGUAAAUAAUACAGAUUACAAUUUUUUUUUCUUUUGAUUAAAUAUAAGUCUACCUUCUAUUCAACAGAAGUUUUUAUGAACAUGAACUGAGUUAUCAAAUAAAAAAAAACUUCAUUUAUACAAAUUUCCUUUAUAGUAAGUGACAGCAACAAUAGAGUUUGUUGUGUAGUCUUUUAUACAGGAGUUGUGGUAAAUUAACAAAUCAGACGUGCACCAAUUAAAGCCUCUUCCUUCUUUAUUGAGACGCAUUUUGAACAGUAUCUUUAUUUUUGGGGCUGAACAGUGACACAGUGCUAAGUGUGUUUCUUUGUCUUGAGAAGGCCACGGUUCAAUUCCCAGCUGGGACCUUUCUGUGUGGAAUCUGCAUCCGUGGGCUUUCUCCAGAGACUUCAGCUUCCUUGCACAGUCCAUAAACAUACUUUGUCCAUAAACGACUGAUUACUCUAAAGUUUGACUGUGUGGGUUUGUGAUUGUGUGACCCUGCGAUAGGCCCUCAACUUACCCAGUGUGUACCCCGCCUUUGUCCAACGUUCGGCUCUGCCAGCCCUAUGGCCCUUAGUCAAAGGGAACUUUGGUGCAAUUUAUUCAAUGUGACAGUGAAAAAAAGAGUUGCAGAUGUAACAUACAAAGAAGAUUUGUCACCUGCAUGAUUCCAAUCUGAAUCAUCUCUUACUUAUGCUGGAUGGUAUGUUCUAAUCCGCUUGUGCAGCUGCCAGUGUGAGUCAAAUCUCAUGCAGUCGACAUAUUUUUACUCUUUGCUGCAUGUUUGACCCCAGAAAUGAAUCAAAAAGUUCCAUCUGUUGGAAUGUAUUAAUUGUUGGAAUGUUUUUUCAAGAAAUGUAUUUCUGUUAGCAGACGGUGAGACCUUUUCUUGGACCCUUAAAUCAUAUUUUUGCUAUAGCUCUUGGACACAUGGCUUCACGGAAGCAAAUACCAAGUUGUGUUUGCUUUGGCCACCACAAUCCCUAGAGGGACAGGAAAUCAACAAGGGGAGAGGGGACUCGACUCCAGCACUUUUGUUUAUUGUGCCGAAAGCCCCUGGUAUGAGAGGAAUCGCAAAUAGUGCAAAUCAAGCUGUUUAUCUGUUCUGUGUUCACCAAGAGCAGCUCUGCCUGCAAACUGUCCUCUCACAAAAGAAGGGUGUUAAGCUGAGAUCACCGUCUGAAGGUUACCUCGCCUACUCUGUGGGGACUCGUCAAACGGCUGCCAAAAAGACGGGGACUUACCCGCUGGCCGUGCCCUGCAGGAAAUGCUCUUAAGUGUGUCUGUUUUCUCUUCAAAAACUCUCCCUUUCAUUUUUCUUGUCACCUCCUGAUGCCCGUUCCUCCUGUGUUUGAUCCAGAUGCUGGGAUAACAGUGGCGUGGGGGCAGGACGGG
Molecule: long non-coding RNA, 4215 nt
Organism: Oryzias javanicus (javanese ricefish)
Lineage: Eukaryota; Metazoa; Chordata; Actinopteri; Beloniformes; Adrianichthyidae
Source: Ensembl